GAUGAACGCUGGCGGCGUGCUUAACACAUGCAAGUCGAACGUGAGAGGAUAGCAAUAUUCUUGAAAGUGGCGCACGGGUGAGUAAUACGUAGGUAACCUGCCCUGGAGUGGGGGAUAACAACUAGAAAUGGUUGCUAAUACCGCAUGAAGCCAAGACACUGGGAAGUGACUUGGUAAAAACUCUGGUGCUUCAGGAGGGGCCUACGGCCGAUUAGCUAGUUGGCGGGGUAAGAGCCCACCAAGGCAGUGAUCGGUAGCUGGUCUGAGAGGACGAUCAGCCACACGGGAACUGAGACACGGUCCCGACUCCUACGGGGGGCAGCAGUGAGGAAUAUUGGGCAAUGGGCGGAAGCCUUGACCCAGCGAACGCCGCGUGGGUGAUGAAGGUCUUCGGAUUGUAAAACCCUGUCGCCAGGGACGAAGGGUGGGGCGUGAAUAGCGUUCUACUUUGACGGUACCUGGAAAGGAAGCCCCGGCUAACUCUGUGCCAGCAGCCGCGGUAAAGCACGA
RNAcentral lists this ribosomal RNA (510 nucleotides) under uncultured bacterium. RNAcentral describes it as "bacterial SSU rRNA". It matches the Rfam family "Bacterial small subunit ribosomal RNA", at positions 28 to 529 of the family's 1533-position model. The record is from RNAcentral.